This 68-nucleotide transfer RNA is filed under the name Aspidodiadema arcitum. RNAcentral's name for it is "tRNA-Ser". The record is from RNAcentral. Lineage: Eukaryota; Metazoa; Echinodermata; Echinoidea; Aspidodiadematoida; Aspidodiadematidae.
GAAAUUUAUAGGUUUGCCUUAGUCCUGCUAAGUCUAUAGGCCUGCGGUUCAAGUCCGUUGAAAUUUCG